CGAACGGGUGAGUAAUACAUCGGAACGUGCCCAGUUGUGGGGGAUAGCCCGGCGAAAGCCGGAUUAAUACCGCAUACGACCUACGGGUGAAAGCGGGGGAUCGCAAGACCUCGCGCAAUUGGAGCGGCCGAUGUCAGAUUAGCUAGUUGGUGGGGUAAAAGCCUACCAAGGCGACGAUCUGUAGCUGGUCUGAGAGGACGACCAGCCACACUGGGACUGAGACACGGCCCAG
RNAcentral lists this ribosomal RNA (232 nucleotides) under uncultured bacterium. RNAcentral's name for it is "partial 16S ribosomal RNA". It matches the Rfam family "Bacterial small subunit ribosomal RNA", at positions 99 to 334 of the family's 1533-position model. The record is from RNAcentral.